Molecule: long non-coding RNA, 1259 nt
Organism: Papaver somniferum (opium poppy)
Lineage: Eukaryota; Viridiplantae; Streptophyta; Magnoliopsida; Ranunculales; Papaveraceae
Exons: 4
Source: RefSeq, a predicted model, not a curated record
ACUAGUAGACUACUAUCUAGGAGAACUAACCUGGCUGGCCACCAUUCUCUCGUUCAAUUCGGGCUUCGCGGGCAUAUUGAGCUCCUAAAACUAGUUCCAUUGAGCCGCAUCAAUGUACCACCCAACCGCCCAUAGAUAGUGCUAAACCUGAUAUGUUGGACGUAUUGAAAAUGCAUCAGAGAGACAAAGAGAUUUCAUUGAUAAAAUAAACUGAUGCUUCAUCGUACUAAAGGAGUUACAAGGACGAUUAUAAUUGUUCGAUUGUGGGAACUAUGCAGAAAUUAUCACCGAAUUCUCCCGGGGAAUUGAUUCCUAGAUCUGGGCAUCAAUCAGAUUUUGCUUUUAUAGAUUUGAAUUUGAUAGCUCCGUUGUUUGUUAUUGAUGCUGAAAUUUCUUUUCUCGAGUAGCUGUUUGUGAAAAUGUCACUUAGAGACAUAUAACCGAGAGUACCUUGACAGCUCUGUCAAUGAUGUGUAUAUACAACAUUGAUGGGAUAAGCGAUUUAGAAGGAAAGAACAGCCACUAACUUGAGUUAUUGGAUUCAUAUUGUGGAUUCUCAAAUUAACAAUAUCACUAAUAUAUAAGAUAGUAAGGGACUUCGAUAAUUGGAUGGAGGAGUACCGCGAGCUCUUAGAGGCAUUAAUCACUACCUAAGAACACUUUGCUCUUUGUUUUCUGUAUACUCUGACAAUUAUGAAGUGUUAGCCUGACUUGCUUUCAGAUUGACAUUUUUGAGAAAGUUCUUUAGGUGGUGAAGUGAAGUCUGUUGGAUAUGAUGAGACCCUUAAUUAGAAGGUGGCCAUGAACUGAAGUUGCUUACAUUUGAGACUGAACAAGGGAGGGAUACAUUUUGGCAUUCAAGUGCUCAUUCUUGGAGGCCCUUGAGACGCAGUAUGGAUGCAAGCUGUGUAUUGGUCCAUGUCCCACAAAAGGAGAGAGGGGUUCUAUUAAAUAUGCAUUUUCUGGUGAUCUUGGCUUGAAUAAGGAUUGCUUUCAUCAAGAAAGCAGUGGAGAAAGCUGUUGCGCUACGUUAUUUUGUCUUUUGCGGAAACUUGAGUGUAUCUUGAAAACAUAACUUGUCUGCUACCACCGCACUUGGGACCUUUCCUACUGAUGGAGGUUUGCACUUCAUUGCAUUGCAGCUCUCAUAUUCUUCUUUCUAUACUUUAACCACAUCGAGUUCUCCUGGUGGAAACCCAAGGACUGUGAAACAGAUAUUAAGAGAAAAGUUAGACAGUUGAACUGCGAAUCUUUUAACA